RNAcentral lists this ribosomal RNA (492 nucleotides) under uncultured bacterium. RNAcentral's name for it is "partial 16S ribosomal RNA". It matches the Rfam family "Bacterial small subunit ribosomal RNA", at positions 29 to 507 of the family's 1533-position model. The record is from RNAcentral.
AGUGAACGCUGGCGGCAGGCCUAACACAUGCAAGUCGAACGGCAGCACAGUAAGAGUUCGCCCUUACGGGUGGCGAGUGGCGGACGGGUGAGGAAUACAUCGGAAUCUACUUUUUCGUGGGGGAUAACGUAGGGAAACUUACGCUAAUACCGCAUACGACGUACGGGUGAAAGCAGUGGAGCUUCGGACCUUGCGCGACUGAAUGAGCCGAAGCCGGAUUAGCUAGUCGGCGGGGUAAAGGCACACCAAGGCGACGAUCCGUAGCUGGUCUGAGAGGAUGAUCAGCCACACUGGAACUGAGACACGGUCCAGACUCCUACGGGAGGCAGCAGUGGGGAAUAUUGGACAAUGGGCGCAAGCCUGAUCCAGCCAUACCGCGUGGGUGAAGAAGGCCUUCGGGUUGUAAAGCCCUUUUGUUGGGAAAGAAAAGCAGCAGGUUAAUACCCCGCUGUUCUGACGGUACCCAAAGAAUAAGCACCGGCUAACUUCGUG